This 203-nucleotide small nucleolar RNA is filed under the name Pteropus vampyrus (large flying fox). RNAcentral describes it as "Small nucleolar RNA U3 (ENSPVAG00000026223.1)". It matches the Rfam family "Small nucleolar RNA U3". From Rfam's summary of the family: Small nucleolar RNAs (snoRNAs) are involved in the processing and modification of rRNA in the nucleolus. There are two main classes of snoRNAs: the box C/D class, and the box H/ACA class. U3 snoRNA is a member of the box C/D class. Lineage: Eukaryota; Metazoa; Chordata; Mammalia; Chiroptera; Pteropodidae. The record is from RNAcentral.
AAGACUACUUUUCGGGAUUAUUUCUAUAGUUCAUUACGAAAGAAGUUUCUCUGCCUGCGAAGCUCAGGGAAACCACAAGUAGAAGGCCCAGUGUUCUCUGUUGAACGUGAAGUUGGUUCCUGGUGUUGCUUCUGCAACUGCCGUUAGUGAUAGGUCUUCUCUUCCUUUGGGAGAGCGAGAGCGGGAGGACGCUGUCUGGGUAA